Non-coding RNA from Maylandia zebra (zebra mbuna), 428 nucleotides. The record is from RefSeq and is a predicted model, not a curated record. NCBI's taxonomy places the organism in Eukaryota, Metazoa, Chordata, Actinopteri, Cichliformes, Cichlidae.
CAAGUGUCAUAGCCUGGUCAUAGCCUGUUGUGUACUGGCAUUUCUCCUGAUAGCAGUGUCAUGCUGUUUUGCGUGUAGAGAAAUUAACCAUCGUAAACAAGGUUCACGUGCUCCUGUACUUUAAGCAACAAGAUGACUGAGCUGACCUCAAAAAGAAAUCAGGAGGUGACUGUGAUAUUUUCAUUUUAUACUUGUACAUACUGAAAAAGACUUGUUGGGGUUUUGUCUGUAAGGGUUUUUGUAGGGUCUUUACUGUACAAUAUAUUGCACAUUGAAGCAACUGUAAUUGUGAUUUGGUGCAAUAAAUAAAUAAAAUAGAAUGGAAAUUGAUCCAAAAAAUGUAUGUAGAUGAUUAAAAUGUUCAUUUCUAAAGCCUGUCUGAAGCCUGAUUAUGCAACACUAAAGUAAAAAAAAUAAAUAAAAAAAUC